RNAcentral lists this ribosomal RNA (478 nucleotides) under uncultured bacterium. Its description in RNAcentral is "partial 16S ribosomal RNA". It matches the Rfam family "Bacterial small subunit ribosomal RNA", at positions 28 to 523 of the family's 1533-position model. The record is from RNAcentral.
GACGAACGCUGGCGGCGUGCUUAACACAUGCAAGUCGAACGGGAAGGCCCUUCGGGGUACACGAGUGGCGAACGGGUGAGUAACACGUGGGUGAUGUGCCCUGCACUUCGGGAUAAGCCUGGGAAACUGGCUCUAAUACCGGAUAGGACCACUGCCCGCAUGGGAGGCGGUGGAAAGCUUUUGCGGUGUGGGUUGGGCCCGCGGCCUAUCAGCUUGUUGGUGGGGUGAUGGCCUACCAAGGCGACGACGGGUAGCCGGCGUGAGAGGGUGCCCGGCCACACUGGGACUGAGAUACGGCCCAGACUCCUACGGGAGGCAGCAGUGGGGAAUAUUGCACAAUGGGCGCAAGCCUGAUGCAGCGACGCCGCGUGAGGGAUGACGGCCUUCGGGUUGUAAACCUCUUUCAGCACCGACGAAGCGCAAGUGACGGUAGGUGCAGAAGAAGGACCGGCCAACUACGUGCCAGCAGCCGCCGUAA